RNAcentral lists this ribosomal RNA (406 nucleotides) under uncultured bacterium. RNAcentral's name for it is "partial 16S ribosomal RNA". It matches the Rfam family "Bacterial small subunit ribosomal RNA", at positions 30 to 526 of the family's 1533-position model. The record is from RNAcentral.
AUUGAACGCUGGCGGCAGGCCUAACACAUGCAAGUCGAACGAGUGGCGGACGGGUGAGUAAUGUCUGGGAAACUGCCUGAUGGAGGGGGAUAACUACUGGAAACGGUAGCUAAUACCGCAUACCAUCAGAUGUGCCCAGAUGGGAUUAGCUUGUUGGUGGGGUAACGGCUCACCAAGGCGACGGUCCCUAGCUGGUCUGAGAGGAUGACCCGCCACACUGGAACUGAGCCACGGUCCAGACUCUGACGGGAGGCAGCAGUGGGUAAUAUUGCACAAUGGGAGCAAGCCUGAUUCCGCCAUGCCGCGUGUAUGAAGAAGGCCUUCGGGUUGUAAAGUACUUUCAGCGGGGAGGCGUUACCCACAGAAGAAGCACCGGCUAACUCCGUGCCAGCAGCCGCGGUAAUUC